Molecule: ribosomal RNA, 253 nt
Filed under: uncultured bacterium
Lineage: Bacteria
Description: partial 16S ribosomal RNA
Rfam family: Bacterial small subunit ribosomal RNA
Source: RNAcentral
UCCGUAGGGGGCAAGCGUUGUCCGGAAUCAUUGGGCGUAAAGAGCGUGUAGGCGGCCUGAUAAGUCGGUUGUGAAAGUCAAGGGCUCAACCCUUGAAUGCCGGCCGAUACUGUCAGGCUAGAGUCCGGAAGAGGCGAGUGGAAUUCCUGGUGUAGCGGUGAAAUGCGCAGAUAUCAGGAGGAACACCGAUGGCGAAGGCAGCUCGCUGGGACGGUACUGACGCUGAGACGCGAAAGCGUGGGGAGCGAACAGG